AAGGUGUGAGGAAGGUGGGGAUGACGUCAAAUCAGCACGGCCCUUACGUCCGGGGCUACACACGUGUUACAAUGGGGGGUACAGAGAGUCAGCGGCCGGCAACGUCCGCUUAAUCAUGAAAGCCCUCCUCAGUUCGGAUUGGGGUCUGCAACCCGACCCCAUGAAGCUGGAUUCGCUAGUAAUCGCGCAUCAGCCAUGGCGCGGUGAAUACGUUCCCGGGCCUUGUACACACCGCCCGUCAAGCCAUGAAAGCCGGGGGCGCCUGAAGUCCGUGACCGCGAGGGUCGGCCUAGGGUGAAACCGGUGAUUGGGGCUAAGUCGUAACAAGGUAGCCGUACCGGAAGGUGCGGCUGGAACACCUCCUU
This 365-nucleotide ribosomal RNA is filed under the name uncultured bacterium. Its description in RNAcentral is "bacterial SSU rRNA". It matches the Rfam family "Bacterial small subunit ribosomal RNA", at positions 1159 to 1532 of the family's 1533-position model. The record is from RNAcentral.